GUUCCUGCUGUAUUUCGGUGUUCCUAAGGCCUCCGUCACCUUCCUGUGUCCCCGUGUGAGGGAUCAGCAGCAGCACUGGAAUAUUUUCACUGCCGUCCAUGUGCUCCACGGCCGCCGCGCUCCAGCAGUGUGUGGCUNNNNNNNNNNCCCCCCCCCCGCGGCCUCCUGCUGGGCUGCCCAGGCACCAGAGGGGGAAUUGGGCAUUUCCAGCACAUCUCGCUCCAAGUGCCUCUGCUGGGGCAAAGACUGCUCAUCCUAUUUGGAGUCACAAAUACCAACGGAGUCACAGCCACUUCUUGUCUUAUGCCUCCUGUUGGGCAGAAUGGCCUCGUGGCUGGGCCAGGAUGCACCAGAGAGAUGAUUUAUCAGUGUCACUGCAGAUUUGGCAUCCAUACCAUACAUCAGGGGCAGGAGCUGCCUGUCCCGGGCUCCCCACGAGGUGGCAAUGCUGCUCUCCUGUGCAGGAGCAGCUCUGCCGCCAGCCUCCACGUGACUGCAUGGACCCAGGUUCGGGACAAGCUGGAUUUUUGACGCAUGCUGUUUGAUCCCAUAAAUCAGCGCCGACAGUCAUUAGCCCUGAUGAUUAAUUAACCUGCUCCUGGAAAGCGCUGGGGCACGGCCGGGGUGAGCCCGGUUGUCACGGGGCCAGCGGCGGCGCAGGGCAUCCCGCGCUGUGUGCUCAGAGGCCACCUUCCCUUUGUGCACGUGGGAAUUCCUGGAAAUUCACAUCCCAAAGUUUGCAAACCCUGGGGAAAAAAAAAAUAAAAAUAAAAAAUUAAUGAGCGAGGGAAACGACCUCUGCCCACCCAGGGGAUGCUCUCUGUGCCACCUCCCCCCCCGAUCUGUGGGAUGCUGCAGGGACGGAGGGGCUGUAACGGGGACAUUCAAAGGCAGUUUCCAAAGCAUCCUCCUGGACACCGCAGCCUGUCCCAAGGCCACCCCUGGCUCCUGCCUCACCCGGGGACCCUCCAUCAGGAAUUUGCCUCCAGCUCUGUGCCUGUUGCUGCUUUCUAGCGGGGCGCACGCAGCCCGGGCUUUGUGGGGCUGGGGUCGGGGCUCGGUGCUGAGCUGCAGCCCCCAGGAUUCCCGCAGUGCCCAGCUCUCCUUUUCCUAGCAGGGGCCUUCCUCCCUCCCUGCUCAGCCUUCCUCUUCCUCGACACCCGGCUGUGAAACCUCUGCUCUCCGCGAGGUGCCAGGAGAGCUCUGAGCACGGGGCUCAGCGCCGGGGAGCCGCUGGGUGCUGCGAGCAGGCACAAGCCCUGCUCAGCCUCUCCCUGCCUGCACGCUCACAGCAGGGCCAGGCAGCUUCCUCCAGUGGGGAAACACCUCACCGUGGCCAGGGGGUGGGUGUCGGGGAGCCCCCACAAUUGGGGGCUGCAGCUCCAUCCCCGGGGUCUGUGCCUGUGCUGUGGGUUUGGCCGCUCGCUUGUGUUUGGGGCUGGGGGGUGCCAUGGGUUUGCUGCGGAGAAGGGGAGCCAAAGCCCCCCUGCAGCCCUGGCCACAUCCUGGCUCACUCCUGCGGUGCCAGGACCUGCCCUGCAGUGGGGAAUUGCCCCCAGCUGAGGCUCCAGCCCUGUGCAGUCAGCUCUUUUCUAUCAGGGAAGGCAUUAACCAAAUGCCCACCACUGCAGCGGGGUCACCGCGCAGCCCCAGCCCUCCCUGGGGCCCCAGCAUCAGCCGGGAGCAACGGCAGAGCCCGAACCCACAGCAGGGGAACGGGGAGAGGGAGACGGGGGGGAAAAAAGGAGGGGAGCAGCUCCCACCACCAGCACCCCGCAGACCCCCUGCCUGCCCUGGUGCGGAGCUGGGCUGCUGCUCCAGGACACGGUGAGCUGGGCAUGGACCGUGCCACCCCCAGAGCCACCUCUGUGCCCCCCCUCCAGGGCUGCCCCCACCUCGCUCAGUGACACAGAGCAAGGCUGGAGGGAUUUCUGCUCCGGGGGGGUUUGGAGGAGGUGUUGAGGGCAGCUGAAGGAGCUGGGACAGGGGGAGCUGCGGUGGCACGGGGCUGACGCAGAGCCCUGGCACCGGCCGUGCCGGGUGGAUCAGCCCCGCUCAGCACCUCCGUGCCUCGGCCCCGGCUGUGUUCCCACAUGCAGGCAGACGUGCUCUCGCCAGGUGUGCCCUGCUGUGUUGCACUUUUUCACACCUGGCUCACGCCGUCGCUUCCGA
Molecule: long non-coding RNA, 2172 nt
Filed under: Anas zonorhyncha (Eastern spot-billed duck)
Lineage: Eukaryota; Metazoa; Chordata; Aves; Anseriformes; Anatidae
Description: lncRNA (ENSAZOG00000018198.1)
Source: RNAcentral